GACGAACCGUACGAACGUUAUUCGGAAUUACUGGGCUUAAAGGGUGCGUAGGCGGCGCGGAAAGUAGGGUGUGAAAUCCCUCGGCUCAACCGAGGAACUGCGCUCUAAACUACCGUGCUCGAGGGAGAUAGAGGUGAGCGGAACUGAGGGUGGAGCGGUGAAAUGCGUUGAUAUCCUCAGGAACACCGGUGGCGAAAGCGGCUCACUGGAUCUCUUCUGACGCUGAGGCACGAAAGCCAGGGUAGCGAACGGG
RNAcentral lists this ribosomal RNA (253 nucleotides) under uncultured bacterium. Its description in RNAcentral is "partial 16S ribosomal RNA". It matches the Rfam family "Bacterial small subunit ribosomal RNA", at positions 524 to 776 of the family's 1533-position model. The record is from RNAcentral.